AUAGCAAAAAAUUGUGUAGAUCAAACCUUGUAACUGGUCGAUACAUAUUGUUUCAAUAUAAUAUUUAUUUUACUGUAAUAUGUCAUGUAUAUUGUUGAAAAAACAAUACUAUUACACGAACUACGCUCGAAAUCGUUUUAUAAAAGCAAUGAUUAAUUUUUGAUUACAUAUAUACAUUACAUCUCCCUUUAUAUUCUACCUUCCCAACUUCUAAUUUUCAACAGUGGUCCACCCGUCAUGCGAAGUAUACCAGU
Molecule: non-coding RNA, 254 nt
Organism: Cinara cedri
Lineage: Eukaryota; Metazoa; Arthropoda; Insecta; Hemiptera; Aphididae
Source: the annotation of a GenBank genome assembly